GAUAGAAUUGCAGGAUCAUAUGGUUAGUUCUAUUUUUAAUUUUUUGAGAAAUUGCCUUACUGUUUUCCAUAGUGGUUGUACCAUUUUGUAGUCCUCCAACAGU
Molecule: microRNA precursor, 103 nt
Filed under: Marmota monax (woodchuck)
Lineage: Eukaryota; Metazoa; Chordata; Mammalia; Rodentia; Sciuridae
Source: RNAcentral